This 18-nucleotide small nuclear RNA is filed under the name Arabidopsis thaliana (thale cress). Its description in RNAcentral is "snRNA_09399". The record is from RNAcentral. Lineage: Eukaryota; Viridiplantae; Streptophyta; Magnoliopsida; Brassicales; Brassicaceae.
GCGGCCGUCGGUGCAGAU